RNAcentral lists this ribosomal RNA (670 nucleotides) under Salmonella enterica subsp. enterica serovar Corvallis. Its description in RNAcentral is "partial 23S ribosomal RNA". It matches the Rfam family "Bacterial large subunit ribosomal RNA", at positions 568 to 1190 of the family's 2925-position model. The record is from RNAcentral. Lineage: Bacteria; Pseudomonadati; Pseudomonadota; Gammaproteobacteria; Enterobacterales; Enterobacteriaceae.
UUUGCUGAGGAUACGGUUAACGGAGCGAAAGCGACGUUCAACCGCAAAAGAAGCAGAGGGGGCUUAGUGGUGGGGUGACUGCGUACCUUUUGUAUAAUGGGUCAGCGACUUAUAUUCUGUAGCAAGGUUAACCGUAUAGGGGAGCCGGAGGGAAACCGAGUCUUAACCGGGCGUUAAGUUGCAGGGUAUAGACCCGAAACCCGGUGAUCUAGCCAUGGGCAGGUUGAAGGUUGGGUAACACUAACUGGAGGACCGAACCGACUAAUGUUGAAAAAUUAGCGGAUGACCUGUGGCUGGGGGUGAAAGGCCAAUCAAACCGGGAGAUAGCUGGUUCUCCCCGAAAGCUAUUUAGGUAGCGCCUCGUGAAUUCAUCUCCGGGGGUAGAGCACUGUUUCGGCUAGGGGGCCAUCCCGGCUUACCAACCCGAUGCAAACUGCGAAUACCGGAGAAUGUUAUCACGGGAGACACACGGCGGGUGCUAACGUCCGUCGUGAAGAGGGAAACAACCCAGACCGCCAGCUAAGGUCCCAAAGUCAUGGUUAAGUGGGAAACGAUGUGGGAAGGCCCAGACAGCCAGGAUGUUGGCUUAGAAGCAGCCAUCAUUUAAAGAAAGCGUAAUAGCUCACUGGUCGAGUCGGCCUGCGCGGAAGAUGUAACGGGGCUAAACCAU